CAGUAGCCGCGGGAAUACGAAGGGGGCUAGCGUUGUUCGGAAUCACUGGGCGUAAAGGGUGCGUAGGCGGAUUCUUAAGUCAGGGGUGAAAUCCCGAGGCUCAACCUCGGAACUGCCUUUGAUACUGGGGAUCUUGAGUCCGGAAGAGGUGAGUGGAACUGCGAGUGUAGAGGUGAAAUUCGUAGAUAUUCGCAAGAACACCGGUGGCGAAGGCGGCUCACUGGUCCGGAACUGACGCUGAGGCACGACAGCGUGGGGAGCAAACAGGAUUAGAUACCCGUGUAGUCCCUGUCUCUUAUAA
This 301-nucleotide ribosomal RNA is filed under the name uncultured bacterium. RNAcentral describes it as "partial 16S ribosomal RNA". It matches the Rfam family "Bacterial small subunit ribosomal RNA", at positions 509 to 809 of the family's 1533-position model. The record is from RNAcentral.